Molecule: transfer RNA, 32 nt
Filed under: Triticum timopheevii
Lineage: Eukaryota; Viridiplantae; Streptophyta; Magnoliopsida; Poales; Poaceae
Description: partial tRNA-Arg
Source: RNAcentral
CUUUGGUAUAGGUUCAAAUCCUAUUGGACGCA